This 406-nucleotide ribosomal RNA is filed under the name uncultured bacterium. Its description in RNAcentral is "bacterial SSU rRNA". It matches the Rfam family "Bacterial small subunit ribosomal RNA", at positions 354 to 777 of the family's 1533-position model. The record is from RNAcentral.
GUGGGGAAUAUUGCACAAUGGGGGAAACCCUGAUGCAGCGACGCCGCGUGAAGGAAGAAGUAUUUCGGUAUGUAAACUUCUAUCAGCAGGGAAGAAAAUGACGGUACCUGACUAAGAAGCUCCGGCUAAAUACGUGCCAGCAGCCGCGGUAAUACGUAUGGAGCAAGCGUUAUCCGGAUUUACUGGGUGUAAAGGGAGCGUAGGCGGCAGGGCAAGUCUGAUGUGAAACUCCGGGGCUCAACCCCGGACUUGCAUUGGAAACUGUCAGGCUGGAGUGCGGGAGAGGCAGGCGGAAUUCCUAGUGUAGCGGUGAAAUGCGUAGAUAUUAGGAGGAACACCAGUGGCGAAGGCGGCCUGCUGGACCGUAACUGACGCUGAGGCUCGAAAGCGUGGGGAGCGAACAGGA